This 229-nucleotide long non-coding RNA is filed under the name Hordeum vulgare. RNAcentral describes it as "long non-coding RNA (HVUL_LNC015465)". Lineage: Eukaryota; Viridiplantae; Streptophyta; Magnoliopsida; Poales; Poaceae. The record is from RNAcentral.
GAUGUUAUGUGUGAUCAACAAAAACUUGUGCUUCUCAUCCAAUCUUUGUCGAACUAUGUUGAUGUGUGAUUAUGCACUUGUUGGGCCCUUUUAUUGUACACCUGCACUUGUAGAACUAUUUUGUUAUGCACUUGUUGGGCCUUGAACCUUUAUGUGUAGAGGAGUCGAUGAAUGAUGUAUUAUAAUUCAUGUGAUGUGCUACUGAAAUGAAAUAUAUACAACUAAUUUG